This 2482-nucleotide long non-coding RNA is filed under the name Mus musculus (house mouse). RNAcentral's name for it is "long non-coding RNA chr12:5454025-5456507". Lineage: Eukaryota; Metazoa; Chordata; Mammalia; Rodentia; Muridae. The record is from RNAcentral.
UCCAAGAUUAAUGGAAACUGACCAUGAGACUAUUUCACACAGGUUAUGUUGGAAGAUGGCACCCUUAAUUCAUUCUCAGAUGCAGGGUGGAGUCACUGUGCUUAACUGUGAUGUCCUCAUUGAACUUAGUUAUGUAAGCAUUUUUCAUUCUAAUCUCUUGCUCUCUGUGGUCUGGCAGUUGGGAUUUAGUUUUAGGUCUUUAAAUGCUUGCCUUUUCCUUACAACUCUCUCUCUCCCCUACUCUCUGUCUCUGUUUCUGUCUCUCUCUCCUACUCUCUCUCUCUUCUUCCACUCUCUUUCUCUCCCCUACUCUUUCUCUUUCCCCCUACUCUCUCUCUCCUACUCUCUCUUUCUCCCCCUAUGCUCGCUCUCUCUCUCUCUCUCUCUCUCUCUCUCUCUCUCUCUCUCUCUUAUCUUUUUAUUUCUUUGUUAAAUACUGGCUUGUCCCAACCAUCAUCCCCAGACAUUCCCUGUAUAGGCAUGUGACCUGCCUUCCUGUGGUGGCAGAUUAGAGUUCUGGGUAGUUCUGAGUGGCAUAGUGGUGGCCUCCAUCACCUCAAUCUGUGAUCUCUAUUGCUUUACUCAGCCAUCCCAUAACUGGGCAUACAAUGCACAUGCUUUAUUUUGGCUACUGUGGUAUAAUGGUUAUUUUGCUGUUCAUACUGGCUUCUGCACAGUCUUUGUGCUCUGUGUCAGUGUCUCUGACUUUGCCAGACCUCAGCUAUUUCUUCGUCCCGUGGCUCCUAUGUCUGAACCCAAAUUUCUGGGCAUCUUGUAAUCUCUCAAAUGUUAGAUUAGAGGUACAUUUUAAAUUCAUCUUAGCUGCCUGAAAAGUGUGUCAUCAAGUGCUACUACACCUAAUGCAUUGCAUUCUAAAUAGAAGUGUGGAUGCAGAUGUGUGUGUGUGCGUGCGUGCGUGUGUGUGUGUGUGUGUGUGUGUGUGUGUGUGUGUAUGUGGUGUGAAUGUGGUGUGAAUGUAUGUGUGUGUGUGUAUGUGGUGUGAAUGUAUGUGUGUGUGUGUGUGUGCGUGUGUGCAUGUGUGUGUGUGUGGUGUGAAUGUAUGUGUGUGUGCAUGUGUGCAUGUAUGUGUGUGUGGUGUGAAUGUAUGUGUGUGUGCAUGUGUGCAUGUGUGUGUGUGGUGUGAAUGUAUGUGUGUGUGUAUGUGUGUGUAUGUGUGUGUGUAUGUGUGUGUGGUGUGCAUGUCUGUGUGUGUGGUGUGAAUGUAUGUGUGUGUGUGUAGUUUAGGCAGGACAUGACUAGAGUUCCUCGGGGACUGGUUGACUUUAAUAUUAGUCUUAGAAGCACGUUCAUAGUGAGAGAACCUGCAGCAGCUAUUCUCAGAGUGACAUGAGUCUGUGCUUAGUUAUGUGCCAUGUAGCAUGCAUGUAAUAGUGAAAUAAGACUUUUUCUAAAUAAAUGUACAUACCCAAAUACAAGUUAACACAAAACAAACCAUCAAAACAUAUGUACAACUUAACACAAAACAUAAAUAUUUUAUUGUCGAAUGUGGUCCAUACUUUAGUAAAUGAAGUAGGACUACAUUCCAAUGAAUGUCUUCUCUCCUCCUAUUUUAUAGUUGAGCCAAGGGGGGGUGGCUAGUAAAAUCUAGCUUUAUUGUUGGGUUUCAUGUACUCAGAAGUCCUAUUAUACUUUAGCCAGCUUAAAUUCAAACUCUUCCAUGAUGGAAUGUUUACUGUUACCGGAGUCAUUCAGUCAUGAUGGGAGAGUAUGUUUUAGGAAAUGCUACACUCUGUUGUACCAUUGAUACACUUCCAAUCUCGGGGGCUUAGCCUACAGUUCUUUCCUUUUCCUGUCAGUUUCCUAUGUGUUGGGAGGUUCCCAGAGGCACACUACUGUCAGUAGUGACGAAAACUCCAGACUUUGACCUUCUCAUUCUGUCAUGUUUACACACGACGUCCAUGGCGGCUGUAGAAGGAGAAGAGGGAUGUGAAUAAUUAUGUUAUUUCUUACCUAAGGAUUAUAGAUACAUUUCCUGGUUGAUCUGUACAGUAUGUCCAAGACUGAAAGUCUAUCACAGUGGUCUCACCUUAGCUUUGUAUUUAUUUUCCAAAGUUUUAUUAAAUUGUAGUUAAUAAACUCUGCAGUGAUGGAAUGUUUAAUAAUGCCUAAGUUUUAAAUUACCUGCUGUUCUGAGUAGAGUUACAGUUCAUACCACUUUGCUUCAUCCUGCCUAGAGUGACUAUCGUCCUUCUGUGUGUGUUCCAUGCCAGAUACACCUCUCACCCAUUAGUCACUUCCAAGCUGACUUGGUUAUUAUGUUGAAUCAAGUAACCAUUAUAUAGUAGCUUGACAUGAUAUCGUAAUGCUUGUGUUAUACACUCUACUUCAUUUGAUCACAUAAGCACUGGGUAUACUGGCUGGUUUUGCGUGUCGAGUUGACACAAGCUCGAGUUAUCACAGAGAAAGGAGCUUCAGUUGAGGAAGUGCCUCCAUGACACCCAUCUGUAAGGCAUUUUCUCAA